GAUGAACGCUGGCGGCGUGCCUAAUACAUGCAAGUCGAGCGAACAGACGAGGAGCUUGCUCCUCUGACGUUAGCGGCGGACGGGUGAGUAACACGUGGAUAACCUACCUAUAAGACUGGGAUAACUUCGGGAAACCGGAGCUAAUACCGGAUAAUAUAUUGAACCGCAUGGUUCAAUAGUGAAAGACGGUUUUGCUGUCACUUAUAGAUGGAUCCGCGCCGCAUUAGCUAGUUGGUAAGGUAACGGCUUACCAAGGCAACGAUGCGUAGCCGACCUGAGAGGGUGAGCGGCCACACUGGAACUGGGUCACGGUCCAGACUCCGACGGGAGGCAGCAGUAGGGAAUCUUCCGAAAUGGGCGAAAGCAUUACGGAGCAAUGGGGCGUGGGUGAUGAAGGCCUUGGGACCGUGAAGCACUGUGAUUAGGGAAGAACAAAUGCGUAAGUAACUGUACACAUCUUGACGGUACCUAAGCAGAAAGCAACGGCUAACUACGUG
RNAcentral lists this ribosomal RNA (497 nucleotides) under uncultured bacterium. RNAcentral describes it as "partial 16S ribosomal RNA". It matches the Rfam family "Bacterial small subunit ribosomal RNA", at positions 28 to 507 of the family's 1533-position model. The record is from RNAcentral.